Molecule: ribosomal RNA, 417 nt
Filed under: uncultured bacterium
Lineage: Bacteria
Description: bacterial SSU rRNA
Rfam family: Bacterial small subunit ribosomal RNA
Source: RNAcentral
ACAUGGCAGGACGACUUCCAGAGAUGGAUUUCUUCCCUUCGGGGACCUCCUGCACAGGUGCUGCAUGGCUGUCGUCAGCUCGUGUCGUGAGAUGUUGGGUUAAGUCCCACAACGAGCGCAACCCUCGCCUUUAGUUGCCAGCACGUUUGGGUGGGCACUCUAAAGGAACUGCCGGUGACAAGCCGGAGGAAGGUGGGGAUGACGUCAAGUCCUCAUGGCCCUUAUGUCCUGGGCUACACACGUGCUACAAUGGCGGUGACAGUGGGAAGCUAGGUCGCGAGGCCGUGCUGAUCUCUAAAAGCCGUCUCAGUUCAGAUUGCACUCUGCAACUCGAGUGCAUGAAGGUGGAAUCGCUAGUAAUCGCGGAUCAGCAUGCCACGGUGAAUACGUUCCCGGGCCUUGUACACACCGAAGGGC